This 484-nucleotide ribosomal RNA is filed under the name uncultured bacterium. RNAcentral describes it as "partial 16S ribosomal RNA". It matches the Rfam family "Bacterial small subunit ribosomal RNA", at positions 28 to 507 of the family's 1533-position model. The record is from RNAcentral.
AUUGAACGCUGGCGGCAUGCUUUACACAUGCAAGUCGAACGGCAGCGCGGGCUUCGGCCUGGCGGCGAGUGGCGAACGGGUGAGUAAUGCAUCGGAACGUGCCCAGUAGUGGGGGAUAGCCCGGCGAAAGCCGGAUUAAUACCGCAUACGACCUGAGGGUGAAAGCGGGGGACCGAAAGGCCUCGCGCUAUUGGAGCGGCGGAUGUCGGAUUAGCUAGUUGGUGGGGUAAAGGCUUACCAAGGCGACGAUCCGUAGCUGGUCUGAGAGGACGACCAGCCACACUGGGACUGAGACACGGCCCAGACUCCUACGGGAGGCAGCAGUGGGGAAUUUUGGACAAUGGGGGCAACCCUGAUCCAGCCAUGCCGCGUGCGGGAAGAAGGCCUUCGGGUUGUAAACCGCUUUUGUUCGGGAAGAAAUCCUCUGGGCUAAUACCCCGGGGGGAUGACGGUACCGGAAGAAUAAGCACCGGCUAACUACGUG